This 219-nucleotide unclassified non-coding RNA is filed under the name soil metagenome. RNAcentral's name for it is "partial contains small subunit ribosomal RNA, internal transcribed spacer 1, and 5.8S ribosomal RNA". The record is from RNAcentral.
UCUCCGUUGGUGAACCAGCGGAGGGAUCAUUACAGAGUUAUUCAAAACUCCCAAACCCAUGUGAACUUACCUUUUGUUGCCUCGGCAGGGCCUAUUGAGGUCAUCGCGACCUCGGUGGUGGCCUGCCGGUGGACUACCAAACUCUUGUUAUUAUUGUGGAACUCUGAGUUAUCUAAACUUAAUAAGUUAAAACUUUCAACAACGGAUCUCUUGGUUCUG